ACUCCUACGGGAGGCAGCAGUGGGGAAUAUUGCACAAUGGGCGCAAGCCUGAUGCAGCCAUGCCGCGUGUAUGAAGAAGGCCUUCGGGUUGUAAAGUACUUUCAGCAGUGAGGAAGGUGGGUAUGUUAAUAGCAUAUUCAUUUGACGUUAGCUGCAGAAGAAGCACCGGCUAACUCCGUGCCAGCAGCCGCGGUAAUACGGAGGGUGCGAGCGUUAAUCGGAAUUACUGGGCGUAAAGCGCAUGCAGGUGGUUUGUUAAGUCAGAUGUGAAAAGCCCGGGGCUCAACCUCGGAAUUGCAUUUGAAACUGGCAAACUAGAGUACUGUAGAGGGGGGUAGAAUUUCAGGUGUAGCGGUGAAAAUGCGUAGAGAUCUGAAGGAAUACCGGUGGCGAAGGCGGCCCCCUGGACAGAUACUGACACUCAGAUGCGAAAGCGUGGGGAGCAAACAGGAUUAGAUACCCUGGUAAGGCUACU
RNAcentral lists this ribosomal RNA (475 nucleotides) under uncultured bacterium. RNAcentral describes it as "bacterial SSU rRNA". It matches the Rfam family "Bacterial small subunit ribosomal RNA", at positions 335 to 799 of the family's 1533-position model. The record is from RNAcentral.